UACAAAAGGAAAACAGCUAAACCUGCUCUAUUCUUUUCCAGAUAAGAAUUGCCCCUCUCUCUACCUUUUCAGCUGCGAUUAGCAUAACAAUCCCCAGGGGUUUGCUCACUGAGGGAAAUACCCAGGGUUCUCUUUAAGCAGUGGUUAAUUACAUCCUGCUAUUUAUCCCAUUGAUUAGAGGUUAACUAAUUUGCACCCAGCCAACUCCGUUUUUAAUCUAAUCUAUUUCUCUUUUUCCCCAGACUCCUGGUGUCCUGUAUCCUGUCUGUCACACAGUCUUCAACCUCCCUACCAAGGAAAAAGCAGAAAAGAGACAAAGGUUGGGUAAACACUGGUCAUUCCAUAGCCCAAGCAUCUGCCGGAAGCUCCGCUGGGGAGCGGGGAAGAGAAGUGGUGCACAGGCAGAGGAAUCCCCAGCCCGCUCCGUACAUCCAUGAAGACGCAGAUGUCUCUUGGCCCCACCAUCUCCCACCAAAACGGGUGGUGCGUCCACAGCCUUUUCCCCACACUGCUGCGGGAUUAACUUUCUUAAACACAGCUCCGAUCGUACCUCUUGGUUUUAAAUGUCUGAUGACUCUAUUGCUGGCCACGUUCAAGGAGUCUACCCCGAAACAUCUGCUUCCUCUCCCAACAUCUUUGACCCUUUGUCCAGAGUCACCCUUUGCUCUGUGUCUUCCUUGGAUGUGCUCUGUAUUUUCUCACCUGAGCGCUUUGGCUCACACGUGUCCUUCUCCCGGGUCUCUCGAGACAGCCGAAGAAAGCGCGCGCCCCGCUCUGCGCAUGCGUGGACGAAUUUGCGCGCUGUGUGAUUCCCGGUCCGCUCCCACCAGGGACUCAUGGAACCCAUCGUGGGUCUGUUUGACGGUCACCCCACAUCCGAGUGAUGCAAAACGAGAAUAGUAACCCGUCUCAAGAAGAGACUUCAAACUUCCCUUUUGAGUCAACUGGAAAUUUGGACAAAACUUCUGUUGACAUUAUAUCUACCCCUUUCACUUUCGGUUCACGGAGACACACUGACAUUUCUGAAAGGAUGUGGCUCUUCCUAGUGUGGCAAACCAUACAUUCAUGCCUAUACACUUACAGGCAUGGUCUUUGUUCCUUGUCGUGAUCAAAUGCUCUGUUUUCUUGAUUCUCCAGCCAAAAGUAAUCCUCUUUUCUUUUCAACUCUUUCAGCACUCCAUUUUUUCUUGAUCCAGUUAACAAACACGCAGGCAUUGUUAUUCUACCAGGCACUGUUAUUUGCACCGGGUGGUGGUGGUCAGCAGGACCAAUUUAUUGGUCAAUAAAUUACGAUGAAAAUCCCUGA
Molecule: long non-coding RNA, 1306 nt
Organism: Neofelis nebulosa (Clouded leopard)
Lineage: Eukaryota; Metazoa; Chordata; Mammalia; Carnivora; Felidae
Exons: 2
Source: RefSeq, a predicted model, not a curated record